This 292-nucleotide unclassified non-coding RNA is filed under the name uncultured Septoria. RNAcentral describes it as "sequence contains ITS1". The stretch from base 1 to 105 matches the Rfam family "5.8S ribosomal RNA", at positions 50 to 154 of the family's 154-position model. Lineage: Eukaryota; Fungi; Ascomycota; Dothideomycetes; Mycosphaerellales; Mycosphaerellaceae. The record is from RNAcentral.
GAAAUGCGAUACUUGGUGUGAAUUGCAGAAUUCAGUGAAUCAUCGAAUCUUUGAACGCACAUUGCGCCCUUUGGUAUUCCGAAGGGCAUGCCUGUUCGAGCGUCAUUUCACCACUCAAGCCUGGCUUGGUAUUGGGCGCCGCGGUCAAUCCGCGCGCCUCAAAGUCUCCGGCUGAGCUGUCCGUCUCUAAGCGUUGUGAUUUCAUUAAUCGCUUCGGAGUGCGGGCGGCCGCGGCCGUUAAAUCUUUCACAAGGUUGACCUCGGAUCAGGUAGGGAUACCCGCUGAACUUAA